Molecule: unclassified non-coding RNA, 343 nt
Filed under: soil metagenome
Description: partial contains 5.8S ribosomal RNA, internal transcribed spacer 2, and large subunit ribosomal RNA
Rfam family: 5.8S ribosomal RNA (bases 1-120)
Source: RNAcentral
GAUGAAGAACGCAGCGAAAUGCGAUAAGUAGUGUGAAUUGCAGAAUUCAGUGAAUCAUCGAAUCUUUGAACGCACAUUGCGCCCGCCAGUAUUCUGGCGGGCAUGCCUGUUCGAGCGUCAUUUCAACCCUCAAGCCCCCGGGCUUGGUGUUGGGGAUCGGCGUGCCCUCGCGGCGCGCCGUCCCCUAAAUCUAGUGGCGGUCUCGCUGUAGCUUCCUCUGCGUAGUAGCAACACUCGCACUGGAUCGCAGCGCGGCCACGCCGUUAAACCCCCCACUUCUGAAAGUUUGACCUCGGAUCAGGUAGGAAUACCCGCUGAACUUAAGCAUAUCAAUAAGCGAGGA